GUGAGGAAUUUUCCGCAAUGGGCGAAAGCCUGACGGAGCAAUGCCGCGUGAAGGAUGAAGGCCUAUGGGUUGUAAACUUCUUUUCUUAGAGAAGAAUAUUGACGGUAUCUGAGGAAUAAGCAUCGGCUAACUCUGUGCCAGCAGCCGCGGUAAGACAGAGGAUGCAAGCGUUAUCCGGAAUGAUUGGGCGUAAAGCGUCUGUAGGUGGCUUCAAAAGUCUCCUGUCAAAGAUCAGUGCUUAACCCUGGGCCGGCAGGAGAAACUCUGAGGCUAGAGUUUGGUAGGGGCAGAGGGAAUUCCCGGUGGAGCGGUGAAAUGCGUAGAGAUCGGGAGGAACACCAAAGGCGAAAGCACUCUGCUGGGCCACAACUGACACUGAGAGACGAAAGCAUGGGGAUCAAACAGGAUUAGAAACCCGUGUAGUCC
This 426-nucleotide ribosomal RNA is filed under the name uncultured bacterium. Its description in RNAcentral is "partial 16S ribosomal RNA". It matches the Rfam family "Bacterial small subunit ribosomal RNA", at positions 354 to 796 of the family's 1533-position model. The record is from RNAcentral.